GGGUUGUGAGGUUAAGCGACUAAGCGUACACGGUGGAUGCCCUGGCAGUCAGAGGCGAUGAAGGACGUGCUAAUCUGCGAUAAGCGUCGGUAAGGUGAUAUGAACCGUUAUAACCGGCGAUUUCCGAAUGGGGAAACCCAGUGUGUUUCGACACACUAUCAUUAACUGAAUCCAUAGGUUAAUGAGGCGAACCGGGGGAACUGAAACAUCUAAGUACCCCGAGGAAAAGAAAUCAACCGAGAUUCCCCCAGUAGCGGCGAGCGAACGGGGAGCAGCCCAGAGCCUGAAUCAGUGUGUGUGUUAGUGGAAGCGUCUGGAAAGGCGCGCGAUACAGGGUGACAGCCCCGUACACAAAAAUGCACAUGCUGUGAGCUCGAUGAGUAGGGCGGGACACGUGGUAUCCUGUCUGAAUAUGGGGGGACCAUCCUCCAAGGCUAAAUACUCCUGACUGACCGAUAGUGAACCAGUACCGUGAGGGAAAGGCGAAAAGAACCCCGGCGAGGGGAGUGAAAAAGAACCUGAAACCGUGUACGUACAAGCAGUGGGAGCACGCUUAGGCGUGUGACUGCGUACCUUUUGUAUAAUGGGUCAGCGACUUAUAUUCUGUAGCAAGGUUAACCGAAUAGGGGAGCCGAAGGGAAACCGAGUCUUAACUGGGCGUUAAGUUGCAGGGUAUAGACCCGAAACCCGGUGAUCUAGCCAUGGGCAGGUUGAAGGUUGGGUAACACUAACUGGAGGACCGAACCGACUAAUGUUGAAAAAUUAGCGGAUGACUUGUGGCUGGGGGUGAAAGGCCAAUCAAACCGGGAGAUAGCUGGUUCUCCCCGAAAGCUAUUUAGGUAGCGCCUCGUGAAUUCAUCUCCGGGGGUAGAGCACUGUUUCGGCAAGGGGGUCAUCCCGACUUACCAACCCGAUGCAAACUGCGAAUACCGGAGAAUGUUAUCACGGGAGACACACGGCGGGUGCUAACGUCCGUCGUGAAGAGGGAAACAACCCAGACCGCCAGCUAAGGUCCCAAAGUCAUGGUUAAGUGGGAAACGAUGUGGGAAGGCCCAGACAGCCAGGAUGUUGGCUUAGAAGCAGCCAUCAUUUAAAGAAAGCGUAAUAGCUCACUGGUCGAGUCGGCCUGCGCGGAAGAUGUAACGGGGCUAAACCAUGCACCGAAGCUGCGGCAGCGACACUGUGUGUUGUUGGGUAGGGGAGCGUUCUGUAAGCCUGUGAAGGUGUACUGUGAGGUAUGCUGGAGGUAUCAGAAGUGCGAAUGCUGACAUAAGUAACGAUAAAGCGGGUGAAAAGCCCGCUCGCCGGAAGACCAAGGGUUCCUGUCCAACGUUAAUCGGGGCAGGGUGAGUCGACCCCUAAGGCGAGGCCGAAAGGCGUAGUCGAUGGGAAACAGGUUAAUAUUCCUGUACUUGGUGUUACUGCGAAGGGGGGACGGAGAAGGCUAUGUUGGCCGGGCGACGGUUGUCCCGGUUUAAGCGUGUAGGCUGGUUUUCCAGGCAAAUCCGGAAAAUCAAGGCUGAGGCGUGAUGACGAGGCACUACGGUGCUGAAGCAACAAAUGCCCUGCUUCCAGGAAAAGCCUCUAAGCAUCAGGUAACAUCAAAUCGUACCCCAAACCGACACAGGUGGUCAGGUAGAGAAUACCAAGGCGCUUGAGAGAACUCGGGUGAAGGAACUAGGCAAAAUGGUGCCGUAACUUCGGGAGAAGGCACGCUGAUAUGUAGGUGAAGUCCCUUGCGGAUGGAGCUGAAAUCAGUCGAAGAUACCAGCUGGCUGCAACUGUUUAUUAAAAACACAGCACUGUGCAAACACGAAAGUGGACGUAUACGGUGUGACGCCUGCCCGGUGCCGGAAGGUUAAUUGAUGGGGUUAGCGCAAGCGAAGCUCUUGAUCGAAGCCCCGGUAAACGGCGGCCGUAACUAUAACGGUCCUAAGGUAGCGAAAUUCCUUGUCGGGUAAGUUCCGACCUGCACGAAUGGCGUAAUGAUGGCCAGGCUGUCUCCACCCGAGACUCAGUGAAAUUGAACUCGCUGUGAAGAUGCAGUGUACCCGCGGCAAGACGGAAAGACCCCGUGAACCUUUACUAUAGCUUGACACUGAACAUUGAGCCUUGAUGUGUAGGAUAGGUGGGAGGCUUUGAAGUGUGGACGCCAGUCUGCAUGGAGCCGACCUUGAAAUACCACCCUUUAAUGUUUGAUGUUCUAACGUGGACCCGUGAUCCGGGUUGCGGACAGUGUCUGGUGGGUAGUUUGACUGGGGCGGUCUCCUCCUAAAGAGUAACGGAGGAGCACGAAGGUUGGCUAAUCCUGGUCGGACAUCAGGAGGUUAGUGCAAUGGCAUAAGCCAGCUUGACUGCGAGCGUGACGGCGCGAGCAGGUGCGAAAGCAGGUCAUAGUGAUCCGGUGGUUCUGAAUGGAAGGGCCAUCGCUCAACGGAUAAAAGGUACUCCGGGGAUAACAGGCUGAUACCGCCCAAGAGUUCAUAUCGACGGCGGUGUUUGGCACCUCGAUGUCGGCUCAUCACAUCCUGGGGCUGAAGUAGGUCCCAAGGGUAUGGCUGUUCGCCAUUUAAAGUGGUACGCGAGCUGGGUUUAGAACGUCGUGAGACAGUUCGGUCCCUAUCUGCCGUGGGCGCUGGAGAACUGAGGGGGGCUGCUCCUAGUACGAGAGGACCGGAGUGGACGCAUCACUGGUGUUCGGGUUGUCAUGCCAAUGGCACUGCCCGGUAGCUAAAUGCGGAAGAGAUAAGUGCUGAAAGCAUCUAAGCACGAAACUUGCCCCGAGAUGAGUUCUCCCUGACCCUUUAAGGGUCCUGAAGGAACGUUGAAGACGACGACGUUGAUAGG
This 2847-nucleotide ribosomal RNA is filed under the name Shigella flexneri. Its description in RNAcentral is "bacterial LSU rRNA". It matches the Rfam family "Bacterial large subunit ribosomal RNA". The record is from RNAcentral. Lineage: Bacteria; Pseudomonadati; Pseudomonadota; Gammaproteobacteria; Enterobacterales; Enterobacteriaceae.